This 613-nucleotide ribosomal RNA is filed under the name Chiastocaulon braunianum. RNAcentral's name for it is "eukaryotic LSU rRNA". The stretch from base 136 to 289 matches the Rfam family "5.8S ribosomal RNA". The record is from RNAcentral. Lineage: Eukaryota; Viridiplantae; Streptophyta; Jungermanniopsida; Jungermanniales; Plagiochilaceae.
UUUGUCCCGGUCUUUGGGGCCUUUGGGGCCGUUUUUUCACAAGCACGUUGGUGAACAUGGAUUUGAGAGACUGAGCCUGGGGCCCUUGCGUUGCCUUUGUUGGUGAUGCGGGCCCGAGUCAAAAACCAAAAUAACGACUCUCAGCAACGGAUAUCUUGGCUCUUGCAACGAUGAAGAACGCAGCGAAAUGCGAUACCUAGUGUGAAUUGCAGAAUUCCGCGAAUCAUCGAGUCUUUGAACGCAAGUUGCGCCCGAGGCUUGUCCCGAGGGCAUGCCUGCCUGAGCGUCACCGCACUCCCACGUGGAUACUCUCCACUGUGGAAUUGGCUGUCCGGGAUCCGGCGUGAAGCAGUGGGUCGUGGUCGGCUGAAAUGUAGCGUGUAUUGGGGAUGCAGCCGGGGAGAGGCCGCGAGAAGGUGAUUCGCUCUUUGCCGAGCGGAGUCUUAUUGGACAGCGCUUCUCUCUUGGGUGGUCCCCGACGGUGGCACUGAACUUUGUGUGUCUUUGGGGAGCGCAAGUAAUAUUGCAUCUCCCCUCCCCUAUAGCUUGGACCUCAGAUCAGGCAAGAUUACCCGCUGAGUUUAAGCAUAUCACUAAGCGGAGGAAAAGAAAC